GCUCCAAUAGCGUAUACUAAAGUUGCUGCAGUUAAAAAGCUCGUAGUUAAAGGUGCGGCUAGUGGUAGUUGGUAGACGCAUGUCUGCCAUUGCUGUAGUCGUAGUUGUGAGGGUCGGUUUCGGGUCUCACUCAGUCACUGUGAAGUAAUCCGAGUGUCCAAGCAGGCGGUUUGGCCUGAAGGGUAUAGCAUGGAAUGACG
RNAcentral lists this ribosomal RNA (200 nucleotides) under uncultured eukaryote. Its description in RNAcentral is "partial 18S ribosomal RNA". It matches the Rfam family "Eukaryotic small subunit ribosomal RNA", at positions 588 to 819 of the family's 1831-position model. The record is from RNAcentral.